AGCAUAUCAAUAAGCGGAGGAAAAGAAACUAACAAGGAUUCCCCUAGUAACGGCGAGUGAAGCGGGAAGAGCUCAAAUUUAAAAUCUGGCGGUGUAUUCCGUCCGAGUUGUAGUCUAGAGAAGCAUCAUCCGUGCUGGACCAUGUACAAGUCUCUUGGAACAGAGCGUCAUAGAGGGUGAGAAUCCCGUCCUUGACAUGGACUGCCAGUACUUUGUGUUGUGCUCUCAACGAGUCGAGUUGUUUGGGAAUGCAGCUCAAAAUGGGUGGUAAAUUCCAUCUAAAGCUAAAUAUUGGCGAGAGACCGAUAGCGAACAAGUACCGUGAGGGAAAGAUGAAAAGCACUUUGGAGAGAGAGUUAAACAGUACGUGAAAUUGUUGAAAUGGAAACGCUUGAAGUCAGUCGUUCUCUGGGAUUCAGCCUUGCUUCUGCUUGGUGCAUUUCCUAGUCUACGGGCCAGCAUGAAUUUUGACCAAUGGAAAAAGCUGGGGGAAUGUGGCACCUUCGGGUGUGUUAUAGCCCCUUGUCAUACACGUUGGUUGGGAUUGAGGUCUUAGUGCACGCUCCGGUUGUGCUUUGAUGCUGGCGUAAUGGCUUUAAACGACCCGUCUUGAAACACGGACCAAGGAGUCUAACAUGUCUGCAAGUGUUUGGGUGCAAAACCCGAGCGCGUAAUGAAAGUGAUAGUUGGGAACCUCUUGAGGGGCACCGACGCCCGGACCAGACCUUCUGUGACGGAUCCGAGGUAGAGCAUAUAUGUUGGGACCCGAAAGAUGGUGAACUAUGCCUGCAUAGGGUGAAGCCAGAGGAAACUCUGGUGGAGGCUCGUAGCGAUUCUGACGUGCAAAUCGAUCGUCAAAUGUGGGUAUAGGGGCGAAAGACUAAUCGAACCAU
RNAcentral lists this ribosomal RNA (893 nucleotides) under Thanatephorus cucumeris. Its description in RNAcentral is "eukaryotic LSU rRNA". It matches the Rfam family "Eukaryotic large subunit ribosomal RNA", at positions 37 to 943 of the family's 3401-position model. Lineage: Eukaryota; Fungi; Basidiomycota; Agaricomycetes; Cantharellales; Ceratobasidiaceae. The record is from RNAcentral.